AGAGGGAGGAAAAAAAAAAAGUUUAAAACAAAGGGAUCCAUACUGCAUAGGCAAAGCACUCAUGCAUCUAAUCCCUGAUUAUUACUUGGCGUGUCUGAAGCAGAGUAUUUAUUGAAAGUACAGAGAGAAAGCGUGGUCCGCGGGACAGGCUGGCGCGCAGGUAGCUCGGAGCUGCAGGCAGAGACCUGGAGGCAGGCGGCUCUGGGGGAGUAUUUUACCUGUGAGCGCCCUGCCCGGGGUGACAGCCCCGCUCCCGCAGCCUGGACCCGUGCUCCCCCUCCCGAGCCGUGACUCAUGGAAUAAUGUCACCAUUUCACAUCCAAUCCCGACAGAGCCGGCUGCACUUUUCCCUGAGCAAAACGCUUUCUUGCUAAAGACUGAGCCACGAGUGGAUAAUGCAAAAUACAGAGGGCUGGAAAUUGAGUGGGAGCUGCUUGAACUGCUUCAAAACACUAACAACUACUUCAGAGAAAUAAGACUUGACAUAAUGUAUAUGAACUAACAAACAUCUAACACUUGAUGAGAUCCAAGAAGGGAAUGUGAAAAUAGGGAAUCAUAAGAAGUAAAAUUUUAUGGAACUUGCAGUUCAC
Molecule: long non-coding RNA, 590 nt
Filed under: Chloebia gouldiae (Gouldian finch)
Lineage: Eukaryota; Metazoa; Chordata; Aves; Passeriformes; Passeridae
Description: Erythrura gouldiae (Gouldian finch) lncRNA (ENSEGOG00005000052.1)
Source: RNAcentral